CAGAGUUCGUGCCCUCACGGGUAGAUCUCCCACCCUGUGUUAUUAUACCUUUGUUGCUUUGGCGGGCCGCCCUCGGCUACCGGCCCCGGCUGGUACGCGCCCGCCAGAGGACCCAAACUCUUUUAUCAGUGAUGUCUGAGUACUAUAUAAUAGUUA
This 156-nucleotide unclassified non-coding RNA is filed under the name uncultured Leotiomycetes. Its description in RNAcentral is "sequence contains ITS1". The record is from RNAcentral. Lineage: Eukaryota; Fungi; Ascomycota; Leotiomycetes.